Long non-coding RNA from Cyprinus carpio (common carp), 1871 nucleotides. The record is from Ensembl. NCBI's taxonomy places the organism in Eukaryota, Metazoa, Chordata, Actinopteri, Cypriniformes, Cyprinidae.
GCUGGAAUUGUAUGAUUGUGAAGACAUCGCGAACCUUAAAGGUUGAGAAGUGAACGGAUUAUACGGCGAACUGAGCCGACGUGAAAAAGGGGAUUGGAAGCGACAUUGAUGUGAGUACUAAGAGCCAGUCGAAAGUGCCCUGUAUAUUGACCUGGCGUUGUGUAGAUCUCUCCAGGAGGAGGAGGGCGGCCCUACCCCUAAUAUAGCGUGGUGGGAGAGCCGAAGGAAUACUUAUUGAAGUAGUCACAACGACGACAUCACUAGCUAGGCCGCAUAUUCCAUCGCCAGAUCCGAACCAAGCGAAGUGAAGGAAGACGGGUGUCCUUUUCGUACACUGAGUGUGGUGGGUGAGUCUUCAUGCUGUGAAAACCUAUAAUUUUGACGUGGUGCUGUAUAUUGCUGUGGGCUGCUGUGUAUUGCCGUGUGUCCUGUCAGAUAAACCCCCGCCUUCACGCACUUCGUCGCGGGAGGACAAGGAGACUGCUGGUCCUAGCCUAGUUCAGUACAGUAUAUGUUGUGAGCGUGCUUCAGAUCUCCGGAGAUAGCACGGUACGCUGUGUCCAGCCCAGAGGUGAAAGCCAUCCAAAGCAGAGUAACUGUGCUUUGCGUCCAAGUUGAUACCUGUGGAGAGGAAAGGAAAGAGAGUGAAUAACACGAGGAGGAAUAGAGCGAACCCUGUACUUACAGUACGCUGUGUCCAGCCCAGAGGUGAAAGCCAUCCAAAGCAGAGUAACUGUGCUUUGCGUCCAAGUUGAUACCUGUGGAGAGGAAAGGAAAGAGAGUGAAUAACACGAGGAGGAAUAGAGCGAACCCUGUACUUACAGUACGCUGUGUUCAGCCCAGAGGUGAGAGCCAUUCAAAGCAAACUAACUGUGCUAUUGUGCCCAAGUUGAUACCUGUGGAGAGGAAAGGAAAGAGAGAGUGAGUAACACAAGGAGAAACAGAGGAAACCUGUACUUACAGUACGCUGUGUCCAGCCCAGAGGUGAAAGCCAUCCAAAGCAGAGUAACUGUGCUUUGCGUCCAAGUUGAUACCUGUGGAGAGGAAAGGAAAGAGAGAUUGAUACCUGUGGAGAGAAAAGGAGAGAGAGUGAAUAACACGAGGAGGAAUAGAGCGAACCCUGUACUUACAGUACGCUGUGUUCAGCCCAGAGGUGAGAGCCAUUCAAAGCAAACUAACUGUGCUAUUGUGCCCAAGUUGAUACCUGUGGAGAGAAAAGGAGAGAGAGUGAAUAACACGAGGAGGAAUAGAGCGAACCCUGUACUUACAGUACGCUGUACUUGUGCCCCCGAGUGAAGAGCCAGCGGCCCCUCUGUCCACUAUCCGUGUCCAGUCCUGUUACACUUACCUUUAUGCUCUUGUGCAGAUCUAGCGGGUCCCUUUGAAGCGUCUACCUGCAUGUCGACUCGUCACUCAGGAUACAGAGACCGUGGAAACCCCCUCCCGUACACUUACCAGUACGGUUUUAGUUGGAUCCCGGCAGCCCUUGGGCAGUUCCCCCAGCAUCUGGACGACCGGGAGUAUAAUCCGCUGGGUCGCCUCGGAGUUCGUCAAAAGUAGCAGCAGGUAUCCAUUGUGCAUCCAAACUCUCAAUACUUACCACUUGUAUCUGUUACGUCCAGGAAAGGAGAGGGCCCUGGACAGUCGUCCUGCAAGCCAGAACAAAGGGGCACUUGUGAAUAAGCUGAUUGUCGUCACAUAGCCAGAAGGAAAGAGGAGUGAAGGACUCACCUGAGAUCUCCCGUGACGGAGUCUAAGAGACUCGAGACUGUUACUCUCCAAAAGGAGGGUUGGAUUUAAGCCUCCCUUCCCCAUACCCUUUUUUUUAGUAAUUUAAUAAAGUCUGUUUUAAUAUUUACUUACCGGCUCUU